RNAcentral lists this ribosomal RNA (500 nucleotides) under uncultured bacterium. RNAcentral's name for it is "bacterial SSU rRNA". It matches the Rfam family "Bacterial small subunit ribosomal RNA", at positions 28 to 526 of the family's 1533-position model. The record is from RNAcentral.
GAUGAACGCUGGCGGCGCGCCUAACACAUGCAAGUCGAACGAAGCUCCCAAACUUGAGUUUUCGGACAAGAGUGAGGGAAGACUUAGUGGCGGACGGGUGAGUAAUGCGUGAGCAACCUGCCCUUCGGAGGGGGACAACAGUUGGAAACGACUGCUAAUACCGCAUAAUGUAUCGAGAAGGCAUCUUCAUGAUACCAAAGAUUUAUCGCCGAGGGAUGGGCUCACGUCUGAUUAGCUAGUUGGUAAGGUAAUGGCUUACCAAGGCUUCGAUCAGUAGCCGGACUGAGAGGUUGACCGGCCACAUUGGGACUGAGACACGGCCCAGACUCCUACGGGAGGCAGCAGUGGGGGAUAUUGCGCAAUGGGGGCAACCCUGACGCAGCAACGCCGCGUGAAGGAUGAAGGUUUUCGGAUUGUAAACUUCUUUUAUCAGGGACGAAGCUUGACGGUACCUGAUGAAUAAGCUCCGGCUAACUACGUGCCAGCCGCCGCCGUAAGAC